RNAcentral lists this unclassified non-coding RNA (272 nucleotides) under uncultured Glomeraceae. RNAcentral's name for it is "sequence contains ITS2". The stretch from base 1 to 52 matches the Rfam family "5.8S ribosomal RNA", at positions 103 to 154 of the family's 154-position model. Lineage: Eukaryota; Fungi; Glomeromycota; Glomeromycetes; Glomerales; Glomeraceae. The record is from RNAcentral.
AACGCAAAUUGCACUCUCUGGUAUUCCGGAGAGUAUGCCUGUUUGAGGGUCAAUUAAAUAAAAUCGGGCGUUUUUGAUGUCCGGAAUUGGGUCGUCAUGACCAUUCGGUUAAGUGACCUAAAAUUUUGUAUGAUUCUUACGAACGUAUUUAAAAUAAUUUACGUACGUUUUUGUAAUAUUCAGUUUUAUUAGAUGUGGUCAUUUUUAUGGUUCGCGUCUAUAAUUUCUCAUCUAUUGACCUCAAAUCAGGUAAGAAUACCCGCUGAACUUAA